GAUGAACGCUGACAGAAUGCUUAACACAUGCAAGUCUUUGGCGAAGCUGUGCUUGCACAGCCUAGCCAAGGCGGACGGGUGAGUAACGCGUAAGGAACUUGCCCUGCAGUCAGGGAUAACAGACGGAAACGACUGAUAAGACCUGGUAAAGUCAGGCGGACUCAUGUCCAGCCUGAUGAAAAGAGAUGCUGCAGGAGAGCCUUGCGUCCUAUUAGCUUGUUGGUGGGGUAACGGCCCACCAAGGCGAUGAUAGGUAGCCGGCCUGAGAGGGUGGACGGCCACAAGGGGACUGAGAUACGGCACUUACUCCUACGGGAGGCAGCAGUGGGGAAUAUUGGACAAUGGGGGCAACCCUGAUCCAGCAAUUCUGUGUGCACGAUGAAGGUUUUCGGAUUGUAAAGUGCUUUCAGCAGGGAAGAAAAAAAUGACGGUACCUGCAGAAGAAGCGACGGCUAAAUACGUG
RNAcentral lists this ribosomal RNA (463 nucleotides) under uncultured bacterium. RNAcentral describes it as "partial 16S ribosomal RNA". It matches the Rfam family "Bacterial small subunit ribosomal RNA", at positions 28 to 507 of the family's 1533-position model. The record is from RNAcentral.